Molecule: non-coding RNA, 43 nt
Organism: Schistosoma mattheei
Lineage: Eukaryota; Metazoa; Platyhelminthes; Trematoda; Strigeidida; Schistosomatidae
Source: Rfam
GCACUGCUGAGUCCCAAAAUAGGACGAAACGGCCGUCCAGUAC